GACGAACGCUGGCGGCGUGCUUGACACAUGCAAGUCGAACGGAAAGGCCUGCUUUCCCUUGUGGAUUGCGGGUACUCGAGUGGCGAACGGGUGAGUAACACGUGAGUGAUCUGCCCCCAACUUGGGUAUAAGCCUGGGAAACUGGGUCUAAUUCCCGAUAGGACUGCAGGGUGGUGCCUGUGGUGGAAAACGAUUUUCUAGUGGUUGGGGAUGAGCUCGCGGCCUAUCAGCUUGUUGGUGGGGUAAUGGCCUACCAAGGCGGCGACGGGUAGCCGGCCUGGGAGGGUGGACGGCCACAUUGGGACUGAGAUACGGCCCAGACUCCUACGGGAGGCAGCAGUGGGGAAUAUUGCACAACGGGCGGAAGCCUGAUGCAGCGACGCCGCGUGGGGGAUGACGGCCUUCGGGUUGUAAACUCCUUUCGACCGCGAGGAAGCCACCUGGUUGGAAGGGUGGUGACGGUAGUGGUAGAAGAAGCACCGGCUAACUACGUG
This 494-nucleotide ribosomal RNA is filed under the name uncultured bacterium. RNAcentral's name for it is "partial 16S ribosomal RNA". It matches the Rfam family "Bacterial small subunit ribosomal RNA", at positions 28 to 507 of the family's 1533-position model. The record is from RNAcentral.